Suricata suricatta (meerkat) is the source of this 247-nucleotide long non-coding RNA. RefSeq lists it as uncharacterized. Lineage: Eukaryota; Metazoa; Chordata; Mammalia; Carnivora; Herpestidae. The transcript is spliced from 2 exons. The record is from RefSeq and is a predicted model, not a curated record.
AAAAAAUAUUCUACAUAGAUGAGACCCAGGAGUAUCUCACUGCCCUAGCAGGAAGCUGUUCCAAGAAGUAAGCUGGAGGCAUAAGAUGUCAAGCACCAUCUUAACUUCUUCAUGAAAUAACAAAUACAGCGUCAAGGUUUGAGAUUUUUCUUCAACCAGCACAUGGAAAAAAAAAAUUCUAACCCAGGAUCUCUGAAGAUGACACACAUUUUAAUGGGGAAAAAUAAUAAACAUAAAUAAAAUCAAA